AGAGUUUGAUUAUGGCUCAGGACGAACGCUGGCGGCGUGCCUAAUACAUGCAAGUAGAACGCACAGUUUAUACCGUAGCUUGCUACACCAUAGACUGUGAGUUGCGAACGGGUGAGUAACGCGUAGGUAACCUGCCUGGUAGCGGGGGAUAACUAUUGGAAACGAUAGCUAAUACCGCAUAAUAUUAAUUAUUGCAUGAUAAUUAAUUGAAAGGUGCAAUUGCACCACUACCAGAUGGACCUGCGUUGUAUUAGCUAGUAGGUGAGGUAACGGCUCACCUAGGCGACGAUACAUAGCCGACCUGAGAGGGUGAUCGGCCACACUGGGACUGAGACACGGCCCAG
This 344-nucleotide ribosomal RNA is filed under the name uncultured bacterium. RNAcentral's name for it is "bacterial SSU rRNA". It matches the Rfam family "Bacterial small subunit ribosomal RNA", at positions 8 to 334 of the family's 1533-position model. The record is from RNAcentral.